GGCCAGGGGGCCAGGCCAGCACACGCGCCUGUGCACAUCACUGUAUUGAUUACUUCUCCUGCCCUCAGCAUCCUUGCCAGGCGACCUACCUACCACUCACACUCACACCUACACCCAUAUUACACCUUCCACUGCCUCGACGUGCCAAUACGCACGUCUGUGUGGAGGGAAGACGUCGCCGAAGGAGGGAGGUGGUGGAGUGCGAAUGUUGGAGUAACACGUGACACCUCGAGUACGACCUCCGCCCUGCCCUCACUCCACCUCUCCCAGAGUACACGGGAAAUUAUCACACGGCUUCGUUCAUUCAGAAGAAACAGUUUAAAAAUCAACAGCCUAAUUGCUUCCGUUGAGCGUCCACCAGACGAUAAUUGAUCAAUCCAGCGGAAGGUUGAUGUUUUAGCAGGUCAAGGGAAUGCCCAGGAGGGAGGGAGGCGAGUCAAGGCGAGGCUGGGAGGGUCACACAAACUGAAGGGAACACAUCGAAGCAAGUUGAGUGUUGUGGUGUUGUGGCCAGGCCGGUAGGUAGGUGGUGGUCUGCCAGCACAUACACACACACAGCAGGGCCAGGCCACCCUCUUACCACUCAUACACCAGGGAUACUCACACCAGGGAUACUCCUCACACCGGGGAUACUCUCCUGCACGCCGCCUGGCCCCUCUACACCACGUUGCACGCGUCCACCACUGACACAACAGGUCGCAGGCGCCAUUUUGGACUAACCAGCUGCUUCGUCUUGCAAGUUCUGGAGGACACUUUUGCGCGGGAAACUACCCAACUGUUGCUUAUGAUUGGCGGCCAAGAAUUCAAAGGGACGGCCAAGAAUUCAUAGUGACGGCCAAGAAUUCAAAGUGACGGCCAAGAAUUCAAAGUGGAGGCCAAGAAUUCAAAGUGGAGGCCAAGAUUUCACAGUAGAGACCAAAAUUUCAAAGUAGCGGUCUGAAUUUCAAAGUGGAGGCCAAGAUUUCAAAGUGGCGGCCGAGAUUUCAAAGUGGCGGCCGAGAUUUCAAAGUGGAGACCAAGUUUUCACAGUAGGGGCCAAGAUUUUACAGUAGUGGCCAAGAUUUCAAAGUGGCGGCCUAGAUAUCACAGUGGUGGCCAAGAUUUCAAAGUGUAGGCCAAGAUUUCUAAGUGGAGGCCAAGAUUUCACAGUGGCGGCCAAGAAAACACAGUGGCGGCCAAGAUUGCACAGUGGUGACCAAUAUUUAACAGUGGUGGCCAAGAUUUCAAAGUAGUGGCCACGACUAUCCAGGUUGGGCCAAGAUUUCACAAUGACAGCGAAGACUACCUAACUGAAAACCAAAACUAUUUAUUGAUGGCCAAGAUUUCACAGAGGUGGGCGAGCUUUACACAGUAGUGGACAAGACUUCGGAUUGGUGGCCAAGACUUCACAGUGGUGUCUACCAGAUCUCUGUCGAGCACACAGAACGUGACAAAUUGCUGGGACUGGUGAACUGCUCUUGGUUCAGAGGUACUGGAUCUACUCUCUAAUGUGGGAAGAAUGUGGCACCUGGUUCUGAUCCAGUCAGUUACAGGUGUUGAACAAGUGGGAGAUGCAAUAGCAGCGACGUGGUGACUUAUGAGGCGACCAGCCACCUCCCACCUCACCACACCGGCCUACCACACCAUCACGUCUCUCUGCCACACUACUCAGCCAGCCUAGAUCACCCAGCUGCACUCUCGCCUUCUCACCUGUGUCUCUUCUCACGCCGGGCCCACAGCACCUGUCAGUCAGUCAGUCAGUCAGUCAGUCAGUCAGUCAGUCAGUCAGUCAGCCAGGAAGCCAGCCAGCCAGCCAGCCAGCCAGCCAGCCUGAAGACCUGCCUGCUAGCCGGCCUGCAUACCUGCCUGUUUAUAUCAGCUUGAAUACCUGCCUACCAGGCAGCCUGCAUACCUGCUUGCCAAUCAGUCAGCCACACUAUCCUGACAGGUGUGUCGAGUCUUAAGUUUUGUGCCCUGCGCCAACAAGUGGAAUAACCCAAGUCCAGCUGUCAACUACCGUAGUGUGCUCAGCCUUACUGUGGGAAGGCUUGAUUUCCUGAGGACCUCUACACAAACUACCCCAUCAACAACCUUAACUCAACAAACCACAUUUCCUCGCUAGUUUGCUUCAAAACACCACCGUCUCAAACUAUUACCCUGUUGCUGCUGCAUUGAAAUCUAACCUCACCAUCAAUUCCUUCAUCCUGGACACUGAGUCAACUCUAACCUGUCAACAACAUAGUAGGAUGCUCCACUGCAUCAUCUCACUACAGAAUACUAUAACUUGUAAAGUAGAACUCUGUGACACCUACUCUAACCUUCCGUCUAUCAGGAACAGUUAAAGUUCAGUACCACACAGCGUCCCCACGACCUCACUCUUUUAGAAACCGAUCCGCCAUCCUAGAAAUCUUUGUUAUAGUAUUAUAUUAAACACUGCGUGUUAUUCAUCCACAGUUGCAUCUUACAACUUUAAACACACCAGCUUACAGACUCGGGUAUUUGUCAUGAGAAACGCAACAAGGAAGUUAAGGAGAGUGUGAGGAAGUGUACUUCUCCCCAGGUCUAAGAGGCUACUGCGGGCGUCCCGAAGAUCCAAUUCACCUCUCACGUACUAAGUUCAGUGAGCAGAGAUAAACCAGUCAGUGUGGAUAACAUUUAUCAGUCACCCCAGUGCUAUCCGUCACCUUUCUUCCCAUUGUCUUCACAAGCAUCCUUAUCCACCAUCAAUCCCAAACAGAACAGAGGAGCGCUGUAAUAGGCCUACUGGCCCAUGCAAGGCAGGUCCUCAGACGAAACCAUUCAUAAUACAGAAUACACGCAUUAUAGAUCAGCUAUUGUAAAUUAUAGCUUUACAGUAAUCCACAUAAUCAGUUUAGUCACUUUCGUAUUGUUCAUGGCACCGAGGCCCAUCAGUGGCCAAUACAAACAAGCUUUCGAUCAUUACCAUAACUACGAGGUAUUUUAUCACAGCAACAUAACCCUAUUUAAUUUCUGCUGCUCCGACACUUGACUAUAAUAUAAACUACUUAACUAUGUCUUUUAACAUGAUCUAACUGACGUCUAGGACCACGAUACAUCAUUGAUAACUGACUUCUAGCACCACGGCACAUCACUGAUAACUGACGUCUAGUACCACGACACAUCGCUGAUAACUGACGUCUAGCACCACAACACUUCACUGAUAACUUAUGAAGGUCUACGCACUGUUGCUCGUUCAAUAGGUACAUCUCAACACCACCGCCACUUACACUUCGUAGCACUGUUACUUGUUGCAAAACACUCGCUCGUACACAGUGCUACAGUCACUUCUCGUUACACAAAAUAAUCUUGCUUUCAAUAUUACCCAGACAAGAUUAACAUUCAACCCACCAUCCAUAACACAUAGCAAGAUCACUUUACCAAUCAUGUUUUCUACCCCAUACUGCAUCUAACUACUCUGUCUGCAUUUACUGUCAACGAACACACAACACGACUGCCACACAUGUAAAUUAAGAGGCAACGCAGAGUUCCUGGUGAGGCAUUCUCAGUAACACUAAACAUACUCAACUGCACGUACCUCACAUCAGUAACUUGCUCACUACACACGCAACACUACUUGUGUUCCACCUACCUCCACAUCUACACUCACGAGGUCCUGAACCACACCACGCUGGCUAACAGCCAUCACAUGAAACAUACUGGUGCGGAACAGUAAGCGUUGAACACACGGUUGGGAACAGCUGGAGUGACUGAAUGCUCAGACUUCAGGGAACGAGCAGCUGGGUCGUCCCCCACGAGGCUAUCAGGAGGCGCAGCAGCAUCACGCUACAUCGCACCGAAUAUAGCCACAAGAGAAGACUAGAAGAGCGUCAAGUGAUUCUACCUUUGGGUAACAUCGGACUGUCGCUCUUGAAGGAACGACUGUUACUGACUGCACGAAAGGUGAUUCCUCCUCAUCUCCAGGCCUCUUACCAACCGCAACCAACUGCUCCCUCAUUACAGUGUAAUCAGACUUAUUAUAUUUGACAGACGAUAGCAUACGAUUAGUGUAACUCAUGAGCCAUAAUAGUGGAGGAGGCACCAGGGAAGGAUACACACAUAAGACUAAAUUGUAGAAGAAUUACAGAGGAAGGUGCACCGAACAGAUUAGUGAAUGGUAACUAGAGUUGUUCCUCAGGGCAUAACUUUCAGUGAAUGAUGCCUGAGCGGCUACGCAGCGCUUAGGAAAGUGGCGCUGUAUGACCCUGGCAGGUUUAGCGCUUCCGUCUGAUUAUAAUAAUAAUUAGGAAAGUGGCUAAGUUGUAUUGGUCGGCUAAGCAGAGCAGAGAAGAGUGACCAGAGUGUGUUGGUCGGCUAUACAGCGCUGAAGUGGCGAAAUUGUGUGGGUCGGCAGACUGUGACGAUUAUCUUCACUCGGACCUUCAUGUACUCCGCGUGCGGUGAUCAUACAUGCCUUAAAGGAGAGUGCAGCUCUGAAUACAGUGUGGGAUGUACAACGUCAGUAUUACCAUCUGUUCUGUCAGUAUUUAUAUCAGUAUUACAAAAAUCUAAGUGCCAAAGUAAUAUUCAUGAAUGCUCGAAAACGUAAAAAAGAAAACGUAGUUUUCCUUUAAAAGCAAAGAAAAUGUCAGUCUCACGCAAGUAUCCAUUUUGAGGAUAACUUUUCGAUGGGCAAAUAUCGGACGCUUGAAUAUUAGAAUUUACAGAGUUAAAGUCUUCCUGUUUCGUUUUAUAUUUAUGCAGAGCUUCGUAAAGUCUAUGAUUAAAUUAAGCGAAGGUCUUCCAGCUGCAAUUAAAGCAUCGGCGGCGAGGGAAAUGUUGGUGGGCCUUCUUGUAGAGUACAGGUGUGUGGCGAGAGGCCGGCCAAGUCUGGCAUGAGUUCUUCCGUCCUGCUGUGGAAGCUCGAUACGGCGUAAGCUGUCAAUGGCCCUAUAAACUCCAACAAGCAGAUUACCGUGGAAUCGAAGCCUCCACUGACCAUUUAUCGGGUUCACUUGGAACCGUGAAUCACAAACUCGGGAUAUCAUCAGUGGGGUCUCUGGUCUCUUGAAAAUCACGAAAUUACCUCGAGUAAGCUGAGCCAGCGUUUACCCCACCAGAGAGCAGGUUACAACGAUUAGCACACUCACAGGAACAGCGACUAACACGCACAUAGAACCAGCAACUAGCGCGAUCACAGAAGCAAAUAUACAACACCCACUAAGCAACGACUAAGGCUUCACGAGUACCCCUAAAAUCGCUGAUACAAAAAGGAUUAAAAAAGAAAGUGUGGGGUUAAGAAGCUGGCCAACCCCCCAAAAAAAUUACAGAAGAAAAUUAUUGUGAAGAGGAACGCGAGAAGAGAUUAAUUAGCGCGAGGAGGUAGAAAAGAGAAGGUUGUUGGAGGUAGAGGAGCCCCGGGAGUGUGAACAAUGGGCAGCAGCUGUUCCUCCUCACAGUCGAUGAAGGACAAUGUCUCCGUCAAGAGUGAGGACUAUGACAUGGAUGACAAGGUGGGUGGGCAGCAGCCGCAGGCGGCUUCGUCCACUCCGGAUAGACCCACCAGCUCCUCCGUAGACGACGCUAGUUACGACACGGAGAGCUGUAGCGGCACCAACCGCUCUCCCAGACCUCCGGUCUUCGCCAAGAUGGUCCACAACGACAGGGUCUCCGACGUAGCAUA
This is a non-coding RNA of Cherax quadricarinatus, 5620 nucleotides long. The record is from RefSeq and is a predicted model, not a curated record. Lineage: Eukaryota; Metazoa; Arthropoda; Malacostraca; Decapoda; Parastacidae.